This 4751-nucleotide long non-coding RNA is filed under the name Nicotiana benthamiana. Its description in RNAcentral is "long non-coding RNA (NBEN_LNC030541)". The record is from RNAcentral. Lineage: Eukaryota; Viridiplantae; Streptophyta; Magnoliopsida; Solanales; Solanaceae.
ACAGCGAUUUAUUUAAGGCGCCUCAAUAUGCGCUAUUAAUUACUGAACUUUUCUCUCCCGGUAAAACCAAAAUUUUGGCUCCAAAGUUCUAGCAGCGACCAAUUAAUAGUUGCCGCAGACGAACAUUUAGGAGCGAUUUCUAAUGUCUCUUUGCUCGAUUUCUUUUCUGCGGUACCACUUAUUUGCUCUUGUCCUUCUCUGUAAAAUUCUCAAUGUUCUCUCCGGUCGAAAACCUUAAAUGUGUCAAAUCUACCUACUCAAAUCAGAAAAUGUGAACCAUAUGGUAGAGAUUCAAUAGCCUUAAUUACAAAAUGUGACUCCUUCGGGUAUGUGUUCAAAUCUCAAUUUCCUUUUAUUUUUGUGGUAAAUGUAUUCUCUAAUUUCACCUCAAAUAUUUCUGACCCAUUUGCAAAUCGAGAGGAAACACUAAAGCUAAAGAAGGAAGGAGGAAAGUCUGAAGUUUGAAAAUCAUUAUGAGGGUAAGUUAUUCCAAACCGUUCGAAGUUUUGAAGUUUUAUUCCAUGUUUUUUCGAUUCUCGGUCUUGACAGUCCUAUGUCAGUUAUCUCCUUCUCUAGGUAAGUUGAAAGUUUUUUUUUUUCUGAAAUUUUAGACCUUUUGGUGUUGUUAUUAUGAUUGCAUGCUCGAUAUUAUAUUGGGUAUCUUGAGUUCAGUAAUUGUGCAAAAAAGACGUCUUUUAGGUUGAAUUUACCUGGGUUUUUAGUUUUGAAGAUGGAUUGUAUUCCUUUUGAAAUAUUGAGUUUUAAGAAAUUUUCCGAUGUAUUUAAUUUGUAGAACAUGAGUAUUUUUUUUCUGUAAUCUCUACUUUAUACACUUAUGAGCGUUGUUCACUUCAGUCAAAUAUUCUACUCUGUCUUUUCUUGUAUAUUUAAUAAAAAGGUCAUACUUAUAAAUAAUUCAGGAAGGAGAGCAUGUGAGUCAGGUCUUGUACUCAGCUUAAAUAAUUGACGUUCUUUAUGAAAUCAAGCCUUUUCAAACAACUUUCAAAGCCUUGCAUUUUUUUUCUUCUGAAAAUUCAGCAUCCCUAAUAAUGAAACCGUCUUUAUAUAGUAUGUGGCUGUCUUAUUUUGGAGCUAGAAUUUGGAUAUGACUUAUGUCGCACUACUUGCGACGCUGUUAGAUAUUGAUUCUCUCAUAGUGUGUUAUGGAGAUAAAUCUCUAUGUAUUCUAUAACUACUCUAGUAUAUUAGAUGAGAAACAAAAUAGACAAUUUAGCAUUAUUUAUGUAGAAAAAGAUGAAACAAAAAGAAGGAACCUCAUGCUUUUAAAGUGGACCUUUUUCAGUGUUACAAGUAGCAAGGACUUGUCCUACUUUUUAUUUGAUAGCAUUUCCCAAACAUAAUUUGAGUGUGCCAUUUGAUUGUGGUGGUGAAAUAUCUGUAUACUUUUAUCUUUUAUUGGUUUCAAAUGUAUUAUUUGUUGUAAAGAAAUUCAUUUUUGUAUGACAUAGUCAUUGCUUAUAUGACAAAUUAUACAUUGAGGUUUUGCUAAUUAGUUAUGAUUGAGGUAUGAUUAGCCAUGUGAGGUUGUUGCAAUGGAGUUCUUAUCCUUCAAGCCUGUUGGCUUUUUUGAUUAUCUUCAGAAGCAAAUAAACAUAGUCCUAGACGAGACGAGACUGUUAGCAUGUAUGAUAUUUCUUCGUAGAAAUUACAUCAUCCUUUGUUACCUAGUUUUUGCGUGUGGAUACAAAUUAGAUGUUAUACUUUGUGGUAGAAAAUGUUAUUUUAUGAAAGUUGGACUUAGUAAAUCAUAGUGGAUUCUAGUUUUAAAAUGCCUGUCAGGUGAUUCUGAUAUUAUUGCAUGCUAUUUUAUUUAUGGUUCUUAUGUUUAGAUAAUUAUUUACGCUAUUUUUGUUGGAGUUACUAAUGCUCUUUUGUUUUUUUUUUUUUUUUCCUUUCCUUCAUUGAGCAGAGGGUCGACUGGAAACAGCCUCUCUGUCCUUUCGGGUAGGGGUAAGGCCCGUCUACAUAUUACCCUCUCCAGAUCUCACUUGUGAGACUAUACUGGAUAGUUGUUGUUGUUGUAGAUUCAGAUUGCAAGAAGCACGUGAACAAAUGGCUGCGGAGUUGCAAAGGAAUAUAGAACAUAAUUGCAAAGGAAUUUAGAAAAAGAGUUUCAAAAGAAGUCGGAGGAUGAGCAUGAACACGUGAAUGUAGAGGUAGAGAAGAGGAUCCAAGAACAAUUGGCUACUAUCAUAGCCAAAAUGCAACAGGUAUUGUCAAUAUUUUGUACUCUUCUUGAUAAUUCUUUGUUCUUAUUUUCUUUUCAUCUACUCCUUUAAUUUUUGUUUUCUUGAGAAUAAGCUAUUGGCUUGUUAUAUAUUCAUGUCAAUUCUGGAUUUGUCAACAAGGCCUAUGAAAUUGUAUUCUAGUUUUAUAUCCAGGUGCAAUUUCUGGAUUUUGCUUCAUGAAUUGUCUCGUCUAUUUAUUUGAAAUAUACGUAAUGCUAACAUGAGAUGACAUGCUACUAGAAUUAUAUGUAGUUUAUCUCUAUGAUUUUGAGGCAUCUAACUUAUCUUUAAUUUUGAGGCAUCUCAUAUAAAGGCAUCUCUUAUAUGUAGCUUCUCUAUUUGAAUGGUAGUACAACUAACUGUUUGUAUCCCAAUGACAUUGUGUAUAUAUAGAAAUCUUGGUAACAUCCCCUAUGUCAAUCAACACAAAAUUCAUAAGACUUUAAGUCACUUACUGUAAUAAAUAAUUACCACUAAAUAAAUACAUCUAAAAAUGCUAGAUGAAUUGUCUGUUGCGUAAUCCUCCGCCCACAUCUUGUGCUUCUUCUUUGAAAUAAUUUAAAAGUGAUAAAAUCGUAUACAACUGUUAUGCACUUAUUUAAAAUAUAACAUUCUGCAAUAGCCAGCAUUUUGCUCGAGCUACUACGACUGUUGCUUCCAACAAGUAAUGUGCGCCCUUCUUCUCUCUUAAAAUUAAAUUGGUUUUUCAUAGUUUAGCUUUUAGUUCUAAUGUGGGGUUUAUUAUAUUAACCUAAUUAAUUGUUUAACUCACUCCAAAAUAAUUUAGAGGAAGAUAUUUUCUUGGAUUCUUGAAUUUUUUGUAUUUUAGCUUCCAAGAAUAUUCAAUUAAUUAUCUUAUUUUGGGGGUUGAUUUACUGUAGAUUUUGCUGCUGUAUCAAUCUUGAUGGCAAUACUACAUGUGUGAUAAAUCUUUACUAGAGUUGUGGUUGCGCUUGAAUUAGAUUUUCGAUUUAUUUUAUUAUUUAUUAUUUUGAUGAUGGUAUAUUCAGGUCAGACCCCACUUUGUGGGACUAUACUGGGUAAUUGUUAUUGUUGUAUUCAGGCCAGCUAGUACAUACCUUGAAUUUUAUUGGGUACUUGUUAUCUCCCAUCAACACAUGUAUUGGGUAACUCUGUUCAUCAAGGUUUAGCCAUAUGAAAAAAAAUUUACCCUGUUUUGUUUGUUGUUUUUGCUAAGAUUUGAACAUGAGACUUUAUGGUUCUCGUCGCACUUUAUUGACCACUAUAAUCAGAUUCAUGAUUUAUGAAGUGACUGCCAAAUGAAUAUGUGAAGGAGGCAAUCUCUUUUUGUUAUGGUUUUAUGGUUUGUCGAAUGAGAAGUAAUUUUAUUUAGUGUAAAAACUUGACUGAGAAGUAGUUUUGGUUUGUUUUUUAUGAGUAAAACUGAUUGGAUUACUGAAAUAGAUCGUAAGUGAUAUUGAACCAUCUGUCUGAAUUAUUAAACAUACAUGUCAUAUCCAUUUGACAUGGAAGUGUCAAGCCAGGUGAUGAGUAAAUGCACUAGAAAAUUAAAAGUGAAGCUAGUUCUAAAGGUAUCCUGAUGACAAGACAUAGAGGUUUGGUCGAUGCUAAUUCUUAAGAUCUACCUUUUCCUAUUUCACUGCAAUUCUUAUAUUUCAUGGAUGCAGUUCCUCUUUUGGUAGUGAGGGCUAGGUUGGUUUGGUUUUAUUGAUAUAUACUCAUUUAAGUUUGAUCAAUUUCAAUUUCGUGGGACGACAAUAGCAUUUAUAUCUAGAACUCAGCCUAUGGCACAUGGAACAUGUCAACUCAUGAUAAACCAGUAAGAGUUCAGGUUAUUAUCUACAUAGUUCGUAACAGCAGAAAAAAAGUGUUGAAUGACUAAAUGCUAUUUUCCUACUAUACUAUGUUGACAAGAGUGGGUUACUCUAGUGGUGGGUACCCACCACUUCAAAAAAAAUUGUGUUGGAUGACUAAAAUCUACCGCCACUUGAAGAAUGCAAAACUAUUUAAGAUAUUAUUUAUGUGGAAAUGCAAAAGUGUCUUUUAACUUAUAACUGUAGCGGCCAUGUAACUAAAUAGUUCAUCUUGUUGAAAUUUUUGUUCUUUGUUGGAUUUUGAUCAUUUAUUUUUUCCUCUUGAUAACAGGAACAAUGUUCUUGAACAAUCACAUAUAGCAUGAUCAAUGAGUUUGAAGAUAUUUAAUGUUUAGUUUUAUCUUUUGUUUUUUUUCUUUUGGUCAAAAGGCGAAAUUUAAUGUUUGUUUUUCCUUUAUCAUGCGUAAAAGCAUACAAUGGCACUAAACAAGAAAGUAUUGGGCAGUGUAUUAGCUAAUUGACUAUAUACUAAUGAAAGUAUAAUAGUAUUUGUGUUGAGAAAUAUUUGUGGUGUUUGUUGAAUUUCAUGCUUUUAGUAUUUGUAGACAAUUGAUCGAAAUAUACAUAAAUAAACUUAUAGCAUUGGUUAGUUAUUGAAAAAUCGCUUUAGUAGCGACUACACCUUGUUGCUAGAUAUAAGUAGUAG